This 493-nucleotide ribosomal RNA is filed under the name uncultured bacterium. Its description in RNAcentral is "bacterial SSU rRNA". It matches the Rfam family "Bacterial small subunit ribosomal RNA", at positions 21 to 507 of the family's 1533-position model. The record is from RNAcentral.
GGCUCAGGAUGAACGCUAGCUACAGGCUUAACACAUGCAAGUCGAGGGGCAGCGCAGUGUAGCAAUACAUGGGCGGCGACCGGCGCACGGGUGCGUAACGCGUAUCCAACCUUCCCGUUACUCAGGGAUAGCCUUCCGAAAGGGAGAUUAAUACCUGAUGGUGUUCAAAUUCCGCAUGUUAUUUGAACUAAAGAUUCAUCGGUAACGGAUGGGGAUGCGUGACAUUAGAUAGAUGGCGGGGUAACGGCCCACCAUGUCCACGAUGUCUAGGGGUUCUGAGAGGAAGGUCCCCCACACUGGAACUGAGACACGGUCCAGACUCCUACGGGAGGCAGCAGUGAGGAAUAUUGGUCAAUGGUCGAGAGACUGAACCAGCCAAGUAGCGUGAAGGAUGAAGGUUCUAUGGAUUGUAAACUUCUUUUAUGUGGGAAUAAAGUCAGGGACGUGUCCCUGUUUGCAUGUACCACAGGAAUAAGGACCGGCUAAUUCCGUG